Molecule: ribosomal RNA, 464 nt
Filed under: uncultured bacterium
Lineage: Bacteria
Description: partial 16S ribosomal RNA
Rfam family: Bacterial small subunit ribosomal RNA
Source: RNAcentral
CUACGGGUCGCUCCAGUGGGGAAUAUUGCACAAUGGGCGCAAGCCUGAUGCAGCCAUGCCGCGUGUAUGAAGAAGGCCUUCGGGUUGUAAAGUACUUUCAGCGGGGAGGAAGGGAGUAAAGUUAAUACCUUUGCUCAUUGACGUUACCCGCAGAAGAAGCACCGGCGAACUCCGUGCCAGCAGCCGCGGUAAUACGGAGGGUGCAAGCGUUAAUCGGAAUUACUGGGCGUAAAGCGCACGCAGGCGGUUGGUUAAGUCAGAUGUGAAAUCCCCGGGCUCAACCUGGGAACUGCAUCUGAUACUGGCAAGCUUGAGUCUCGUAGAGGGGGGUAGAAUUCCAGGUGUAGCGGUGAAAUGCGUAGAGAUCUGGAGGAAUACCGGUGGCGAAGGCGGCCCCCUGGACGAAGACUGACGCUCAGGUGCGAAAGCGUGGGGAGCAAACAGGAUUAGAUACCCUCGUAGUC